UGCCCAGCAACUCCUAUCCCUACCUCCUCGUGGUACUGGCCGGGGUACGAGUAACCUUGGGGAAGA
This is a non-coding RNA of Aedes aegypti (yellow fever mosquito), 66 nucleotides long. Lineage: Eukaryota; Metazoa; Arthropoda; Insecta; Diptera; Culicidae. The record is from Rfam.